AUGGCCUUGCCGGUGAUCCCCGACGAGCUCCUGGUGGAAAUCCUCCUCUGCCUCCCCACCGCUGCCGACCUCAUCCGCGCCUCCGCCGCCUGCUGUUCCUUCCGCCGCCUAAUCGCCAGCCGCUCCUUCACCCGGCGCUUCCGCAAGCUCCACUCCCCGCCCCUCCUCGGCUUCCUCGACACAGGGCGGCACCGCUUCCACCCUGCCGUCCCGCCUUACCCCUCCGCGCCCGCGGCCAGGGCCGUCGCCAGCGCCGCCGACUUCUCCUUCGACUUCCUCCCCUCCCCCUCCCAGCACUGGUCCGUGCAGGAUGUCCGUGAUGGCCGCGUACUCCUCGAAAGGCCCCGCCCCUACCGUCGCGGCGCCGGUGAGGGGCUCGAAUCUCCCUCCGAUGAGAUGGUCAUGUGCGACCCCUUGCACAGGCGGUAUCUCUUGCUUCCCUGGAUCCCCGAUGACCUAGCCGCU
RNAcentral lists this ribosomal RNA (465 nucleotides) under Triticum aestivum (bread wheat). RNAcentral's name for it is "partial small subunit ribosomal RNA". Lineage: Eukaryota; Viridiplantae; Streptophyta; Magnoliopsida; Poales; Poaceae. The record is from RNAcentral.